Molecule: ribosomal RNA, 227 nt
Filed under: uncultured bacterium
Lineage: Bacteria
Description: partial 16S ribosomal RNA
Rfam family: Bacterial small subunit ribosomal RNA
Source: RNAcentral
UAAAUCUUCCCUCGGCGGGGGAUAACAUUCCAAAGGAGUGCUAAUACCGCAUAAGACCACGAGGCCGAAAGGCUUUGAGGUAAAAGCAGGCCUCUAUACAUAAGCUUGCACCUGAGGACGAGUCCGCGGCCCAUCAGCUAGUUGGUAGGGUAACGGCCUACCAAGGCUAAGACGGGUAGCUGGUCUGAGAGGAUGAUCAGCCACACUGGAACUGAGACACGGUCCAG